GACAGAGGUGCCAAGCGUUAGGCGGAAUCACUGGGCUUAAAGCGUGUGUAGGCGGAUCGUUAAGUACCUUGUGAAAUCCCACGGCUCAACCGUGGAACUGCUGGGUAUACUGGCGGUCUUGAGCCACCUAGGGGCGAGCGGAACAAACGGUGGAGCGGUGAAAUGCGUAGAUAUCGUUUGGAACGCCAACGGUGAAAACAGCUCGCUGGGGGUGUGCUGACGCUGAGACACGAAAGCCAGGGGAGCGAACGGG
Molecule: ribosomal RNA, 253 nt
Filed under: uncultured bacterium
Lineage: Bacteria
Description: partial 16S ribosomal RNA
Rfam family: Bacterial small subunit ribosomal RNA
Source: RNAcentral